RNAcentral lists this ribosomal RNA (255 nucleotides) under Escherichia coli. RNAcentral describes it as "partial 23S ribosomal RNA". It matches the Rfam family "Bacterial large subunit ribosomal RNA", at positions 84 to 375 of the family's 2925-position model. The record is from RNAcentral. Lineage: Bacteria; Pseudomonadati; Pseudomonadota; Gammaproteobacteria; Enterobacterales; Enterobacteriaceae.
AGGUGAUAUGAACCGUUAUAACCGGCGAUUUCCGAAUGGGGAAACCCAGUGUGAUUCGUCACACUAUCAUUAACUGAAUCCAUAGGUUAAUGAGGCGAACCGGGGGAACUGAAACAUCUAAGUACCCUGAGGAAAAGAAAUCAACCGAGAUUCCCCCAGUAGCGGCGAGCGAACGGGGAGGAGCCCAGAGCCUGAAUCAGUGUGUGUGUUAGUGGAAGCGUCUGGAAAGGCGCGCGAUACAGGGUGACAGCCCCG